Molecule: long non-coding RNA, 790 nt
Filed under: Homo sapiens (human)
Lineage: Eukaryota; Metazoa; Chordata; Mammalia; Primates; Hominidae
Description: HSALNT0386066
Source: RNAcentral
GAGGAAAAAGUCACUGGUGUUUCCUUUGUCCAAAGUCCAUUCUUCCUUGGAGCUGCAAACACUUUCUUGAAAAGAUGAGGCCUUUAUCCUUACGAACACAUUCUGCAGACUGAUUCUCUUUGGCUCAAAGAUUUCCUGUCCCGUAAUGGAAAGUAGGUGUGACGUUCUGUUUGAUAAUCCCAGGCCAGAGAUCUUGGAUGCAGGCUAUUUCAACAUGGGAAACUGAAAUCGGGCAUAUCCCUGCGGAAGAAGCUGUCUCUUAGCGAAGAAUAAAACUGUGGACUGACCCCCACCCAUUUGCGAAGAAAGUACUGGGUCUUCAGCUUUCAUUGUUCAGCCGGUGGUCUUUGUGGACAACACCAGGGGCCCCUCCUGCUGAAGACUGUCUGGACUUCCUGAUUUUCACUCCUGUAUAAACCCCCUCCCCCAUUACUACCUUUGUCUCCUUGGGGAAAAAAAAUGUUUUUCACUUAAGCAAAAUAAUAACUACCCAGUAUUUGUUUCUGGAGUGAAAUUGUAAACUUCAUUGUACAUUCUUCCUGGCUUUGAUGCUUAUCGUGAAGAGUUCAGUGAAAAUAAAUUGUUUUUAUGAAAGCAGAGAAACCAUUUGAUAAACACGCUGUCUCUGAAAAUCGUUCCUGCAAAAGAGGUCAUUCUUUCACUUUAAAAGAAAUAGAAUAUAUUUCAGAAAACAGGCAGGACAACAUACAAAUUUUUUUUUAAGGCAGAGUGUAAAUACAGUGAAAAUUGCACACCUCCUGAUUGUGUGGAGUGUUUUGGUUUCUAAAAU